RNAcentral lists this small RNA (283 nucleotides) under Photobacterium halotolerans. RNAcentral describes it as "5' ureB small RNA". It matches the Rfam family "5' ureB small RNA". The record is from Rfam by way of RNAcentral. Lineage: Bacteria; Pseudomonadati; Pseudomonadota; Gammaproteobacteria; Vibrionales; Vibrionaceae.
CUUCUUCAAUUUGCUGGGGGCAGAUGAAAUGGAUGUGAGCAUCAAUACCACCGGCUGUCAGUAUCUGACCUUCGCCGGCGAUGAUUUCAGUGCCGGGGCCGAUAAUGAUAUCCACAUUCGGCUGGAUAUCCGGGUUGCCUGCUUUACCAAUGGCACUGAUGCGGCCGUUUUUGACAGCCACGUCGGCUUUGACGAUGCCCCAGUAAUCGAGGAUCACGGCAUUGGUGAUCACCAGAUCCGGGGUCUGUGAUGAAGGGCGCUGACUUUGGCCCAUGCCGUCACG